AAUAAUUUUAUUGUUUCAAAGUUUCUACAAUAUUUUUUUUGUUGUAGAACAAUCACAAUAAUUUUCUCAAUCUAAAUGUAUCUUACAAUUCUUAAACUAAUAUUUCCACCGUCACCAACAACUAAACCCUAAUUUUAAAUCUUUAAACUCUAAACUUCUAGCAGCUUCGCUAAUCUUCAAUUUGACCAAUAUUGGAGCUAAAUCAAGAAUCCAAUUAUAAUUCCUGCUUGAAUUUUUUCUUACUUUGCAUUAAAUUUCAGUUUCAUUUAAAUAUAUAUAUAUAUAUAUAUAUAUAUAUAUAUAUAUAUAUAUAUAAUGAAAAGAAUUAGAUUCCAAUUAAGUAAGUCGCAUCGCAAGCAAGCAAGUAUUGUAUUGAAGAGGGAAAAAAACAAACCUGAAUUGUUUUCUCAAAAAGAGGUCUCAAUUUGCCUAAAAAUGAGAGUUAAUUUUAUCAAUAAGGAUACCAAAAUUUGAUAGUUCUCAGCGGUUGUAGUUUUCAGUGGACUGCUCCUCCUUCUCUGCAUUUGUUCUUUGAUUAUUGGUACUCUUUGGCGGAUAAGAAUUAUAGGUGUAUUUGGCAAGCUAUUCGGUUCUUUUUGGUUUGGGAGUUGUGAAAAGUUAGAAACAAGAGAUUAUUCAAGCACAAGUCGAUGGAAGCAGAUUCUCUUCUCCAUUUAGCUAUUUGCAGAGCGGUGUGAUGUUCUAUAAAGACAUUAUCUUGGGUUUUAUUUGUUCGGGCAUUGAUGUUUUUAGAAAUUUAGAUUUCUGUUGUCACGAUUUAUAGCUCUUUUGUCUUUUUCGGAAAGGUUUUGUCUUCCGCUA
Molecule: long non-coding RNA, 822 nt
Organism: Mercurialis annua (annual mercury)
Lineage: Eukaryota; Viridiplantae; Streptophyta; Magnoliopsida; Malpighiales; Euphorbiaceae
Exons: 2
Source: RefSeq, a predicted model, not a curated record